RNAcentral lists this ribosomal RNA (254 nucleotides) under uncultured bacterium. RNAcentral's name for it is "partial 16S ribosomal RNA". It matches the Rfam family "Bacterial small subunit ribosomal RNA", at positions 524 to 776 of the family's 1533-position model. The record is from RNAcentral.
UACAGAGGUCCCGAGCGUUGUUCGGAUUCACUGGGCGUAAAGGGUGCGUAGGUGGCGAGGUAAGUCGGAUGUGAAAGCUCGGAGCUCAACUCCGAAAUGGCAUUGGAAACUACCUUGCUCGAGGGUUGGAGGGGGGACUGGAAUACUUGGUGUAGCAGUGAAAUGCGUAGAUAUCAAGUGGAACACCAGUGGCGAAGGCGAGUCCCUGGACAACUCCUGACACUGAGGCACGAAAGCUAGGGGGAGCAAACAGG